This 466-nucleotide ribosomal RNA is filed under the name uncultured bacterium. RNAcentral describes it as "bacterial SSU rRNA". It matches the Rfam family "Bacterial small subunit ribosomal RNA", at positions 335 to 797 of the family's 1533-position model. The record is from RNAcentral.
ACUCCUACGGGGCAGCAGUGGGAAUAUUGCACAAUGGGCGCAAGCCUGAUGCAGCCAUGCCGCGUGUGUGAAGAAGGCCUUCGGGUUGUAAAGCACUUUCAGUCGUGAGGAAGGUGGUAGUGUUAAUAGCACUAUCAUUUGACGUUAGCGACAGAAGAAGCACCGGCUAACUCCGUGCCAGCAGCCGCGGUAAUACGGAGGGUGCGAGCGUUAAUCGGAAUUACUGGGCGUAAAGCGCAUGCAGGUGGUUUGUUAAGUCAGAUGUGAAAGCCCGGGGCUCAACCUCGGAAUAGCAUUUGAAACUGGCAAGCUAGAGUACUGUAGAGGGGGUAGAAUUUCAGGUGUAGCGGUGAAAUGCGUAGAGAUCUGAAGGAAUACCGGUGGCGAAGGCGGCCCCCUGGACAGAUACUGACACUCAGAUGCGAAAGCGUGGGGAGCAAACAGGAUUAGAUACCCUGGUAGGCGU